UGCAGUCGACGAUGAUCAGGAGCUUGCUCCUGUGAUUAGUGGCGAACGGGUGAGUAACACGUGAGUAACCUGCCCCUGACUCUGGGAUAAGCGUUGGAAACGACGUCUAAUACUGGAUAUGAUCACUGGUCGCAUGGCCUGGUGGUGGAAAGAUUUUUUGGUUGGGGAUGGACUCGCGGCCUAUCAGCUUGUUGGUGAGGUAAUGGCUCACCAAGGCGACGACGGGUAGCCGGCCUGAGAGGGUGACCGGCCACACUGGGACUGAGACACGGCCCAGACUCCUACGGGAGGCAGCAGUGGGGAAUAUUGCACAAUGGGCGAAAGCCUGAUGCAGAACGCCGCGUGAGGGAUGACGGCCUUCGGGUUGUAAACCUCUUUUAGUAGGGAAGAAGGGAGCUUCGGUUCUUGACGGUACCUGCAGAAAAAGCACCGGGUAACUACGUGCCAGCAGCCGCGGUAAUACGUAGGGUGCAAGCGUUGUCCGGAAUUAUUGGGCGUAAAGAGCUCGUAAGCGGUUUGUCGCGUCUGCUGUGAAAUCCCGAGGCUCAACCUCGGGCUUGCAGUGGGUACGGGCAGACUAGAGUGCGGUAGGGGAGAUUGGAAUUCCUGGUGUAGCGGUGGAAUGCGCAGAUAUCAGGAGGAACACCGAUGGCGAAAGCAGAUCUCUGGGCCGUAACUGACGCUGAGGAGCGAAAGCAU
RNAcentral lists this ribosomal RNA (699 nucleotides) under Curtobacterium sp. C135-PCA-T3P21. RNAcentral's name for it is "bacterial SSU rRNA". It matches the Rfam family "Bacterial small subunit ribosomal RNA", at positions 56 to 762 of the family's 1533-position model. Lineage: Bacteria; Bacillati; Actinomycetota; Actinomycetes; Micrococcales; Microbacteriaceae. The record is from RNAcentral.